RNAcentral lists this ribosomal RNA (433 nucleotides) under uncultured bacterium. RNAcentral's name for it is "partial 16S ribosomal RNA". It matches the Rfam family "Bacterial small subunit ribosomal RNA", at positions 29 to 507 of the family's 1533-position model. The record is from RNAcentral.
AACGAACGCUGGCGGCAGGCCUAACACAUGCAAGUCGAGCGAGAUCUUCGGGUAUAGCGGCGGACGGGUGAGUAACGCGUGGGAAUAUGCCUCUUGGUACGUAAUAGCCUCGGGAAACUGGGAGUAAUACCGUAUGUGCCCUUUGGGGGAAAGAUUUAUCGCCAAGAGAUUAGCCUGCGUUGGAUUAGGUAGUUGGUUGGGUAAUGGCAUAGCAAGCCUAUGAUUCAUAGCUGGUUUGAGAGGAUGAUCACCCACACUGGGACUGAGACACGGACCAGACUCCUACGGGAGGCAGCAGUGGGGAAUCUUAGACAACCGAGGAGAGCGUGAUAUAGCCAUGCCGCGUGAGUUAUGAAGGCCUUAGGGUUGUAAAGCGCUUUUAGCUGGGAAGAUAAUGCCGGUACCAGAAGAAGAAGCCCCGGCUAACUCCGUG